UUAGCCGCGCCUCUAACCACAAAGCUCUUGGAGGGGCUGGGAAGCCAACAAAAUGCAUUACGUAAGGGUUAUACAAUCUGAUUGGUGCAUAUGCAUUCCUGAAUGCAAACUGCUUACGUAAUGUAGGCAGUCUGCAAUCUGAUUGGUGCUGCAUGUUUUUCUGCAGCAAGAACAAGGCUGCAACCCGUCUCCCUUUUUGGAGGCGGGCCACGCCCAUCUAAUACUAUGCCCUCGGGAUAUAAACCACGUGCACUCGGGAUGCAUGGCAUAUAUUGCGGCUUACGCCCUCGUGCUUCAGUGUAAUAUAUACGUGUUAUAUUUUCAAAGCUAGCUACAAGCUAUUACAUGCAGCACAGUGUAGUAGAGAUGUUCAAUAAUAUUAUAUGGGAAGUAUUACUGUAUAUAGCUCUAUAGAGUUUAACUGUUACAUAAGAUACAUCAGUGAGGUACUUGUGCAAUUGCAUGUAGUCUACAUACAUGUAUAGCUAGCUGCAUGUACAAAAGAUGCCUUAUCACUGCAGCAAUUGCAUUAGCACAAUAGUCACUCACUACUAUUAGCAGCGUUGCAAUGCCUGUUCUAACAUCUCAUGUGCACGCAAAAAUGUUCUCCUAUAUUAUUUGUUUAAAAGUGUCAACAAGUCAUGGCCUUAUCUAAUGUUUCAUACCACAGGUGGACCUAUAUAGCUCUCUCUCUGAGGGUCUGGCUGCGGGGGGCCGUGCGCCCCCUGCUCUCUGGGGGGGCUCUCCCUGGGAUGUGAGAGUGUAGGGUCCUAUGGGCCAAAUCACUAUAAAAUGAACGAGCUUAGUGACGUACCUCCUGGGUAGCUUGGAAAGCGUCACACACUAUAUUCCACAGGUGUGAUGGUUCUCUUCCGUAUUAAAAUCAGGGUGAAAAUUGAAAGUAGCGUUAGGCAUCUGCAAAUCAUUUCAUGGUGCUAGCCUGUUCACCCUUAAAUCUCUAUGUGUAUGUGCAUGUACAUGUAUACUGUGGCUAUUGUCUUGUUCUGUUAUUAUGUCACUUGUAUAUACUUUUAACAUGUUUUUCUUGUUCCUUUUGUGUUUUUCUUUAGGACUACCUUUACAUCAGCAUUCAGUUGCUACUAGUCUUGUUUUUGUCCUUAUGCUUGCAUUACUAACUAUAAUUAUACUGACACAAAUUAUAGAAUUAA
Molecule: long non-coding RNA, 1169 nt
Organism: Halichondria panicea
Lineage: Eukaryota; Metazoa; Porifera; Demospongiae; Suberitida; Halichondriidae
Exons: 2
Source: RefSeq, a predicted model, not a curated record